Molecule: long non-coding RNA, 486 nt
Filed under: Homo sapiens (human)
Lineage: Eukaryota; Metazoa; Chordata; Mammalia; Primates; Hominidae
Description: HSALNT0154846
Source: RNAcentral
CAGAAGUGCCUGCCCAUGGUGCUGUACAGGAGCCCAGGUGAGAGGAAGCGGAAAGGUGGAUCGUGUAACUCCAACAAACAGACCAUCCCCGACAAGGUACCAGACAUAUGAGUGAAGAAUCAUGGACCCUCCAGUCCACCCCAUCCACCAGCUGAAGACCAUGAGUAACCUGGGCCACAUGGAGCAGAAUACCCAGCUAUGCCCUGCCCAAGUCCUUGGCUCGCAAACUCAUUAGGACUUGGAUUGAUGGACUCUCUAGCCUGAGACUGAGGCCCUCCUUCUAAUGAAUGGGGCAGAACCAAGCACCUUCAACCUCAUAUGAAGAGCAGUCAAAGAAAGUUUAAAGCAAAAUGACCAUAGGGGGAGGGCAGGUUUGUGUGCAGAGAUGGCCCUGAAGAAGAGUGCUGCCAUGGCAACACAAAGACAGCAGACAGGCUCAUGCACUUGCCACCAGUGGGGUUCUAAUAAAUGUUUUGGGGAGGCAUG